RNAcentral lists this ribosomal RNA (1294 nucleotides) under Obama ladislavii. Its description in RNAcentral is "eukaryotic LSU rRNA". It matches the Rfam family "Eukaryotic large subunit ribosomal RNA", at positions 211 to 1317 of the family's 3401-position model. Lineage: Eukaryota; Metazoa; Platyhelminthes; Tricladida; Geoplanidae. The record is from RNAcentral.
GGUGUUAGACCCGUUGGAGUGUACUCGGUGGCUAUUGAUGUUUCCUAUGAGUCGGAUUGUUUGAGAAUGCAGUCCAAAUUUGGUGGUAAACUCCAUCUAAGGCUAAAUACUUGUAUGAGUCCGAUAGCAAACAAGUACCGUGAGGGAAAGUUGAAAAGAACUUUGAAGAGAGAGUUAAAUAGUACGUGAAAUCGCUUAGAGGUAAACGAGUGGAGCCGAAAAAGUCGAAUGGGAUUCAGUUGGGUGUAUGAUGAUGAUCGUUUCGGUGAAAACCACAAAAGGCAUUACUGUUUCGGUAUGUUUGUUGUACGCACAAUGCACUUUCUGUUUGAUUAAACUGUGACCAAUAGAGUUGUUUUACUGUCGUAAUGUUGAAGGUGACCAUUUGCUUGCAAUUGGUUUUAUAGCUCAUUGCACGGUGAAAUUAAUGUAUUGGUGAAUAUGCAAUCAGUCAACGUUGGUAGUAUGUUAUAUAUGCGGUUUGGUAGCUGGCUACAUGUAGACUGUUAUUAAAUCGUGUGUGUGAUGUAGUGCCGAUGGAUUGGUUUAAAGUCACAGUAUAAUGUAGGUUAUCUACUCGUCCCGUCUUGAAACACGGACCAAGGAGUUUUAUAUGAUCGCGAGUCAAAGGGCUGUACGAAACCCCAGGGCGCAAUUAAUGUAAAGGUUUACUUCUAGUAGACUGUGAUGUGACCUGAAAGUGUUUGGUCACAAGCCAAAUGCAAUCAGUGCAACAUCGACCCGUCUAAAGAUGUUCGCAUCUGGGCGGAGUUUGAGCGAUCAUGUAGAGACCCGAAAGAUGGUGAACUAUGCUUGUGCAGGUUGAAGUCAGAGGAAACUCUGAUGGAGGACCGCCGCGGUUCUGACGUGCAAAUCGAUCGUCGGACAUGAGUAUAGGGGCGAAAGACUAAUCGAACCAUCUAGUAGCUGGUUCCCUCCGAAGUUUCCCUCAGGAUAGCUGGCGUUUGUUGUCGUAGUUUUACCUGGUAAAGCGAAUGAUUAGAAGUAUUGGGGGCGAAAUGCCCUCAACUUAUUCUCAAACUUUAAAUGGGUUCGAUGUGUAGCUCGCUUCAUUGGAGUUGCACGUUGAAUACGAAUGCCUAGUGGGCCAUUUUUGGUAAGCAGAACUGGCGAUGUGGGAUGAACCAAACAUUCGGUUAAGGUGCCUAACAUCACGCUCAUGAGAUCCCACAAAAGGUGUUGGUUGAUAAAGACAGCAGGACGGUGGACAUGGAAGUCGUCAUCCGCUAAGGAGUGUGUAACAACUCACCUGCCGAAUCAACCAGCCCUGAAA